This is a long non-coding RNA of Gossypium arboreum, 4462 nucleotides long. RefSeq lists it as uncharacterized. The transcript is spliced from 2 exons. NCBI's taxonomy places the organism in Eukaryota, Viridiplantae, Streptophyta, Magnoliopsida, Malvales, Malvaceae. The record is from RefSeq and is a predicted model, not a curated record.
UUUGAUCGUUUUAUUUUUCAGGAAUGUGGACAGGGGCUAUCAUUUUCUAGAAGUCAGAAUUCAAUUGUGGCGUAGGCACGAACACGUUCGGCACAUCCAUUUCCUUUCCAAGUAAACAAAACCAUACCCAAACCCAAAAUUUCAAGAACCCAAGAAGCCCAAAAAAUGAAAAAAAGAAAAAGAAGAGAAACCCAAACCCAAAUACAAGUAGCCCAAAGAAAGAAAAAAAAGUAGAAGACCAAACAACCCAAGCACAAAAAGAAAAAUGAUGAAAAAAAGAAGAAAAUAAGAAACAAAAAAGAACCCCACGUUUAGAACUCCCAUUUUCUUUCUUUUCUUUCUUUUUUCCCCUCUAUUUCUUAUUCACCCAUCUUCCCCAAACAAAACCCUAAUACUAUUAGACUAUCAAGCCAUCGCCGUUUCGCAUGCCAUCAUCGACCCCUUUCGCUGUCCUACGUCACCGUUGAUGACCGAGUAGCCGACGAUCAAACCCCUUCCAUCGUACUUCGCACAUCGUCAUUGCCAUCACUUUUCCAUCAAAACGCCACAGUUUGCAAGCCAAAGCCGCCAUCUUUCCACCGCUGUUCAUACCUCUCACUGCUGAGAUUGCUCAAUUAAUCACCACCUCUUUUUAACUGACCAAAACCAGAUUGCUCAAUUAAUCACCACCUCUUUUUAACUGACCAAAACCACCCUAUUCUUCACCAAAAAACCACAGGUCAUCUCGUCUCCACCGCUCCUUUGUCGUGCAACACCAUCGAUCGAGUUCCUCAAUCGCCAAACCUUCACCCUUAACAGCCACCACCUUUCCAAAACCCAAUCGCUACCUUUAGAACAACAAACCUCACCUUUUUUUCCCCAUUACCGCCGACCUUCAAAGCCCCCUCCCAACCUUAAAAGAACCGAUUAAAACACUCUACACAAACAAUUCCAAUGCCGUUUCAAUCAUCUGCCACCAUCCGUCAUCGCUACACAAUCAUCUUCAAUUGAUUUUUGAGCCCAAAAACUGACCAUGGUUCGUAUUAGAAACUAGUUGGUCGAUAGAUUCUCGAUUUCACUUAACCGAGGUUGAAAUCGAUUUUUAGCACCACUAGUUAUCAACCUUGACAACGAAGAUCCAGAACCACCACCACCGAUAAAUGUUCCUGGACUGAUUUGACUCUGAUGCUAAAGAAGCUCGACACCGGUUGUAAUAGAAAGUCCACAAGUUCAUCCCGACACUUCUAACGACACAACGUUUCAAAUUUACAACAUGUUUUACGGUUACUAACAUUUCCUACAGGUCGUUUAGACGGAGCUAACACUUCGAGUCACAAUGACGCUGAACUGUUGAACCAAAGUGAGCAACCAACUCCACGACAAACAAGGUCGGCCAUCGUUCACAAUCACACCAACCUAAUAAAGAGCGAGAGUCAACCUUGAACUACAGUACUGAAGCUGCUGAUAUGUCGUGUCCCCCGCAUAGUGCAGUCUAAAACGAGUACCAAUCUUCUAGAAAUAAUAGGCACGGUUAGUGGGGCCAAACUUAUACAAUGCCACAAUAACAGAGACUUCGAGGGUCUCUAAAUUUCACAAUACCAGAACACCGUGCAAGAUAUGAGGAAAUUCAACAUCGGCCAAUUCCAGUCUGUACACGAACCGCUCGAAGCAAUAAAGUCUUUCGAUGAGGUGGCGAUCUGACUACUAGAGAACAAAAGGAGCAACCCCCUUCCGCGGUGGACGAAAAACUUUAUCGCAUUGAGGCUCGCCUAGAAAUAAUUGAAGCCAACAUCUCAAGCAUCCUCAUCAUACUGUAAAAUGGUCAUUUCCACCAUCCUCCGACCCAUUAAAUAUAUACAGGGAGUACAUUUUACCUCAACUUUUGUUAUUCUUUUUGCACAUUAUGGGCAAUGUGGGCUAAGUAGGGGGACAUGCCAUGUUAUUUCUUCUUUGCAUGUGUUUCACUAAAUAAUUCCUUAAUUCCUUUCGAAAAUAAACCUCUAAUUCUUAUGCUUAGUUUAUUUAAAUAAUAGGGGUGAAUCAUGAAUAACUACUGCUUACUUGAUCAAUAAAUAUUUUGUAGAAUUGAAAAUGUUAUUGCUUAGUCAAUAUUUCAUAUAAAUUGUUGGCUCUUUUGAACUUGCCUAAUGAAAGUACUCAUUUUAAUAAAUAAAUAAAUAAGUAAUUUGUUAAUGGCUUCAUUAAGAGUGAAGGAUAAAAAAUGUGACCAAAUUGAGUAAUUGGGGUGAGGUGCUUGGGUUGUCAUCUCAUUUUGCGUCAAAAGAUUUGGUGACGAACCAAAACUUGUAACACUCUGCUAACUGAGCUUCCUUAAGAAAAGAGAAAUAAAUUCAUUAGGGACAUGCCAAGUUGAGUAACCAGAGUGAGGUGCUUGGGUUGUCAUCUUAUUUCAUGUCAAAAGAUUUGGCUAUGUCUCGAAUUUGUAAAAAAUAAAAAAUAAAAAAUAAAAAAAUAACAUGUCGAGUUGAGUAACUGGAGUGAGGUGGUUGGGUGACCCUCCCAUUUCGCAUCAAAAGACUUGACCAUGUCACGAAUAAGUUUAAAAAAAUAUAAAUGAAAAAUUGAAAAAAUAUAUAUUGAGUACGAUUGUCUUGCAAGUUUGAUUAAACCUAAAUUUAGUGAAGUAGUUGAGUUUGACAUACUGUUCGAGAUUUUAUAAAAUGCUUAUUGAUUGAGUCUAGUAAUUAUUUAUUUUUAAUUCACCUAAUUGUUUGCUUUAUACUUGAUUGAGAAAGGGGGUUUGAUUUCGAAAAGGAUUGUCAAUGAUUUUUAGUGAAUAUCAUGCUUGAGGACAAGUAUCGACUAAGUGGGGGGAAUUUGAUAGCAAGAUAAAUUCAUUUUUUUGAAUACAUUUAGUUUUGGCUAAUUAUCGAAUAAGAUGCUACUAAACUUCGGUUCUUCUUAUUAGGAAUGAAGUUUGUGUGCUGAAAUUCAAAUUCAUACAAAAAGGGGGCUAAAUUGGAACAAAAGCAAUAAUGAGGGCUAGAUUGAGAGAUUGAAUAUUUAAAGUUGGUUGAAUAAAGAUUGAAGGGUUGAAGAUUAAAAAAAGUGGCUGGAUAAAGAUCAAAUUAUUUUUUAUAUUGUUAAAAUUUUGUACUUAGUUUAAAUUUGAUUUUUAAAUUUUGAUUUAUCUAGUGAUAAUGUUUAGGAAAAAUCUAGCUAAGUUUUAGCAUUAGAAGUAUGUAUAAAUACUCGGUGGAUAUAACCACCGGGGAGACUUGGCCUUGAAUAUAAAAAAAUUACUGCAUUCUGCCAAUUUUUUUUUCCCAAUUUCAAUAAUUUGGUUAAUUUGCCUUCUAAGCCCUUUCCCCUUUCUAGUUCCCACAAUUUCCAUUAAAAACCACUUCCAUACUCCAUCUAGCAUGAUUUAUUUCAUGGUUAACUAAGUUCCUUUUAGCCUUAGUCCAAUUAUUGCUCUGACAAAGUAACCGUGAGAUAUGAACCCAUACUAAAUACUUUGCAAUUCUGUAUUUGCUAUCUCUCUGGUAUAUGAGAUAGUACAAAUUUCUUCCUAAAAGUCGAUUCGAUUUCAAUUAAUAAAACACACGUUGGGUUGGAAUUGUUUGGCGUACUGUUGGGAAGUUGAGUCGGUCGUGUUGUAUUCAAAAUCCUGCGAACAAAUUAGCAUGUUUAAGUGGGAAAAGCUAGUUGGAUUUCGUCAAGGGAGAUAGUGAUCGGAUUUAAAUGACUCACAGGAUUGAGGCCGUUGAUUCUAGUUGGACUUUUCAGAUUGUAAGGCUGUCAAAGUCUUAAAUUAAGGGCAUGUGUCACAUGGUUAGAAAUUCGACAAGGGUUAAUUUCUAGGUCGUACCGGAACUGACUACAAGAGGAAAAGCUGGUGGUUUGAGGCAUCCUUGAUUGCUAUAACCAACUUAUUGGUUGGAAGGAAAAACCUUUUUUCAAGGAUCGGUUUGAGUUCGGGGUGUACCGAGGCUAAGGCUAAGCUUUAAAAUAUUUAAUUUACCCAUUUAUUUUAUUUACUUAAAUUUAUUUUUGCAAUUUCGAAUUUGUUUUCAUUUUAUUACACUACAUAUUUAUUUAUUUUAUUUACUCUAUUAACUUAAACUCCCUUUUUAUUUUUCAUCUCGCAAUGCACAGGUUGUGGGCAUGACUGUAUCACGACAAUAAUUCUGGUAACGAGAAAAAAGAGAAAUUGGAUAACUAGACCUUGUGGAUUCAACGCCCAUCAAUGUUGUGGAAUAUUUUAGUUAUUAAUCGUUUGCUUGCUUCUGGUUUAAUUGUUGAAUGUAGUACGAGAUUUGCUAAAAUAGUUCAUUUUAAAUGUCAUUUUUAGGUGCUGGAAUUGGGGUUGUUGUGUCGGCAUUGAAAAAUUUACAAGUGUGUGACUCGAUCUCAUAAAAACAGUGAACGACAGAAAGCCGAAAAACCCAUUGUCUACACACAGGCCGUGUGCACCACAUAGCGUGGCACACAACCUUGUGGGGCUGGGCAGUUUCAAAAA